This 1247-nucleotide long non-coding RNA is filed under the name Gopherus agassizii (Agassiz's desert tortoise). RNAcentral describes it as "lncRNA (ENSGAGG00000017321.1)". The record is from RNAcentral. Lineage: Eukaryota; Metazoa; Chordata; Testudines; Testudinidae.
AGGGGGCGGAAGUCAGCAAGCGGAGAGCUGCACAGAGCUUGGGGGCGCUCGGGCGGCGGCGGGGCUGGCACUCACCUCGGCGGCGUGCGGCGGGCUGCGGACGCUACCGGUUAGGGCGGCAUGGUGGCCCGGUCCCCGCCCCGGCUGCUGCUUUUAUGCAACUGGCAGCGGCUCCUGCCUUGGGGCCUGGAGGGGAAACAGCCCGCUCCGCCCCCGUCCCCGAAAUGACGCGGCUCCGCCCGUCCGCCCCUUCCCCGCCCAGCCCGGCUGCACCCCCUCUUCCCCGGCGCUGAGAGGCUGGGCCGGAGGAGGAGCACCGGGGCCUGGGCUGCCCUGCCCGGCCCGGCACGGAGAGGAAGGCCGGAGGCGCCGCGGGGCAGAAGCCAAGCCCCGACCAACACCAUGUCUGAAAUGCUGUACAGUAGAGGAGACAUCUAGUGGCUGGGUAGCAUGCUGCAAGAAAACAUUACAGCUUAAAGCAACAGGUCCUUUUACAUCAAGAAACUUUCAGUGAUCCUCCUCUCUGACUUAGGGGACGAGAGCUAAGGAACGUUCUAACACCCUUACUCUACUUGCGCUACUUUGAUGGCAUCAUCGUCUGAACCCAUGGAAAAGAAGCCCUCGAGGAAUUCCACCAUGACUUUAACAAUUUCCAUCCCACCAUCAACCUCAGCCUAGACCAAUCCACACAAGUGGUCCAUUUCCUAGACACUACUGUGCUAAUAAGUGAUGGUCACACAAACAUGCCAUAUACCGGAAACCUACUGACCGCUAUACUUACCUACAUGCCUCCAGCUUCCAUCCAGGACACACCACACAAUCUAUUGUCUACAGCCAAGUUCUAAGAUACAACCGCAUUUGCUCCAGUCCCUCAGACAGACACAAACAAACACCUACAAGAUCUCUGUCAAGCAUUCUUAAAACUACAAUAUCCACCUGCUGAAGUGAAGAAACAGAUUGACAGAGCCAGAAGAGUACCCAGAAGCCACCUACUACAGGACAGGCCCAACAAAGAAAAUAACAGAAUGCCACUAGCUGUAACCUUCAGCCCCCAACUAAAACCUCCCCAGCAAAUCAUCAAAGAUCUACAACCUAUCCUGAAAGAUGAUCCCUCACUCUCAUGGAUCUUGGGAGACAGACCAGUCCUCGCUUACAGACAGCCUCCUGACCUGAAGCAAAUAUUCACCAGCAACCGCACACCAUACAACAUAAACACUAACCCAGGAACCUAUCCUUGCAANUACAAG